Molecule: ribosomal RNA, 393 nt
Filed under: uncultured bacterium
Lineage: Bacteria
Description: partial 16S ribosomal RNA
Rfam family: Bacterial small subunit ribosomal RNA
Source: RNAcentral
AUACGGGGGAUACGAGCGUUAUCCGGAUUUAUUGGGUUUAAAGGGUGCGCAGGCGGACCGGUAAGUCAGGGGUGAAAAGUCGGGGCUCAACUCCGAUCGUGCCUUUGAUACUGCCGGACUGGAGUGCGAUAGGCGUGGCCGGAAUGUGGUGUGUAGCGGUGAAAUGCUUAGAUAUGCCACAGAACACCGAUCGAGAAGUCAGGUCACGAGUUCGCAACUGACGCUCAUGCACGAAAGCGUGGGGAUCAAACAGGAUUAGAUACCCUGGUAGUCCACGCUGUAAACGAUGAUCACUCGUUGUUGGGGGGUGACCCUCAGCGGCCAAGCGAAAGCGAUAAGUGAUCCACCUGGGGAGUACGAUCGCAAGGUUGAAACUCAAAGGAAUUGACGGGG